Molecule: ribosomal RNA, 253 nt
Filed under: uncultured bacterium
Lineage: Bacteria
Description: partial 16S ribosomal RNA
Rfam family: Bacterial small subunit ribosomal RNA
Source: RNAcentral
UACAGAGGGGGCAAGCGUUGUUCGGAAUUACUGGGCGUAAAGGGCGCGUAGGCGGCCUGUUAAGUCGAACGUGAAAUCCCCGGGCUCAACCCGGGAACUGCGUCCGAUACUGGCAGGCUUGAAUCCGGCAGAGGGGGGUGGAAUGCCACGUGUAGCAGUGAAAUGCGUAGAGAUGUGGCGGAACACCGAUGGCGAAGGCAGCCCCCUGGGCUGAGAUUGACGCUCAGGCACGAAAGCGUGGGGAGCAAACAGG